RNA transcript from Cyclopterus lumpus (lumpfish), 5267 nucleotides. It is a transcript of the gene named transcription factor 3a, with no coding region annotated. The transcript has 21 exons. NCBI's taxonomy places the organism in Eukaryota, Metazoa, Chordata, Actinopteri, Perciformes, Cyclopteridae. The record is from RefSeq and is a predicted model, not a curated record.
GCUGUUGGUCUUUCCGUUGUCCUCAUCCGCCAGUCGACAUAGGUCCCUGCGAAUUGCUAAAUACGGUCAUUUAGUGUCGUGUUUACACCUACAGAACAUAGGUAUUUUGUGUUAUUUAAGAUAACUGCCGCGUCAAUACACGGAUUAUUGAAGCCUGCUUUGUUUGGUUUGUUCUUUUGAGUCGAGAUUGGACAUCGCUGGUGUUUCAGCGUCCAUGUCCCCUGCUGCGGAGUGAUCUUUACUUCAUUGGAACCGACAAUGUGGAGGCUGUUAAAAUGUCUACUUGGAAAAUGAAAUUGUUACAUUUUCUCUAACAAUAAGGAAACAGAGCGGCUUCAGCGUUAUGGUUAGUAACGUGUUUUCAGUUUCGUGACGAAAACAACAAGCAGACGAGGCGACGGAGGAGUGGUUCAUAUUGUCUUUCCUCCUUUUCAUCGAGCCCACAGUCCGGACCACGGGGGGAAGGAUCCGAUCCCCAACUUUGUUUUUCUCUAUACUGCAGCCGUCGAUUUCUCCCUGUUGGAUGCCAUAUAAUUGAAUCCAGUCGCUUGCUGAGACUGAAAGGGCCAAGUUAACAGCAGCAGAGAAUGGCUGCAGUGGAAACAGACAAGGAGCUCAACGACUUGCUGGAUUUUAGCGCGUUUCUCUCUUUUCAGAUGUUUGAGCCUCCAGUUUCAAACGGCAAGAACCGUCCGACUACUCUCGCCAGCAGUCAGUUUGGAGGUUCGGGUAUGGAUGACAGGAGUGGGUCCGGUCCCUGGGGCCCAGGAGAACAGAACAGUCCAUCUUUCAACCAGGGAAGGGGUUAUGCAGAACAAGGCCUUUACAAUGAGCAAGAGGGCAUUGCCUCUGCCCCCAUGUAUGGAUCAGGGAUUGUUGGGAAGGCUGAGCGAGGACCAUACUCGUCAUUUUCAGCACAGCCGGGCUUUAUGCCCAGUGAGAUGCCCAUGCCCAGUCCUGAUGCCCUCUCCCCAUCUGGCCUGAAGUCCAACUCCCAGUUUUAUUCCUCCUAUGAGGGAAGCAACUCUCGCAGGAGACCCUCACAGGAGCCUAUUGGACCACAACCCAAAAAGAUCAGGAAGGUGCCCCCUGGCCUGCCCUCCUCUGUUUAUGCAUCUGCCUCAGGAGAGGAUUUUAACAGGGACAAUGCUGGCUACCCAGUCUCCAAGGCAGGAAACGUCUUCCCACCACCAUUCUAUGUGCAAGAAGGCCUCCACCCGCCCUCUGAUCCAUGGGGCUCUGCCAGGUCGAUGGUUCAGCCUGGUUAUUCUGCCAUGCUGGGCAACUCCCCCCAUCUGAGCCAGCAUGCUCCCUUUACUGCCAUCAACCCCCAAGACAGACUGAAACGGCAGCCAUUGCCCCUCUCUCCCCAGAACUUCCCCAUGCAUGGCAGUGAGGUGAACGGGACUCAUCCCUCUGGUUUCCACUCUGGCCCUAGCAGCUUUGGAGUCCCCAGCCACACACCCCCUAUGGCUGAGCCUAUUAUGGCCAAUCGAGGAACAGCACCUGGCAGUUCAGGAGAUGAAAUUGGAAAAGCCCUGGCAUCUAUCUAUCCUUCAGACCCACACAGUAACACCUUCCCACCGUCUCCGUCUACUCCCUCUGGCUCUCCUCAGGCUGUUUCAGGCUCUGCAUCACAGUGGACUCGGUCCUCUGGUCAGGCCACACCGUCACCCAACUUUGAGGGUGGAAUUCAGUCCAUGCCGAAUAAAAUGGAGGACCGUCUGGACGAAGCCAUCCAUGUUCUACAGCGUCACGCCAGCGGACAAGGAGUGCCAGGCCUGGCUGAGAUGCACAAUCUGCUCUCGUCUGGCUUAGGGUUACCUCCAGCCUUCACCAGUGCAGCACUUGGAUUGGCCAGUCGCGUGACUGGACUGAUGUCUGGUCACCAUGAGGAGUCUGCUGGUCUGCCCUCUAGUGGUGGACUUAUGCAUGGUCACCAUGGCCCCACAUCUGUCCAGCCAGGCUCUCAGCCUGAAGGUUUUACAGGCCUGUCUGGUAGCCUGAAGCGCUCCAGUGGUUCUGAUAUCAAACGAGAGGACAAGGAGGACGAUGAAAACUGCUCAAUCACCGACAGGUCAGAGGAUGAGAUAAAAGACAUGAAGGAUCGUCUUGGAUCAAGUCUGGAUGAUGAGGAAGACGAUGAAGAUCUACCAGUGGAGGUUAAGGCUGAGCGGGAGAAAGUGAGGAGGAUGGCAAACAACACCCGUGAACGACUACGUGUGCGGGACAUCAACGAGGCUUUUAAGGAGCUGGGCCGCAUGUGUCAGCUCCAUCUGAGCCACGAGAAACCGCAGACCAAAUUGAUCGUACUGCAACAGGCCGUUAACGUUAUACUCAACCUGGAGCAGCAAGUUCGAGUGUUGUUUCGGUGACCGAUGAGAACCUGACUGCCGAGGAGAAGGAGCAGAGGGAGCGUGAGCGCCGCCAUGCUAACAACACUAGGGAGAGGGUGCGUGUGCGUGACAUUAACGGAGCCUUCAGAGACCUGGGCAGGAUGGUUCAGGUCCACCUGCAGAGUGACAAGGCCCAGACCAAGCUUAUCAUCCUGCAACAGGCUGUCCAGGUCAUAAUGGGCCUGGAGAAGCAGGUGCGAGAGCGUAAUUUGAACCCAAAGGCAGCCUGCCUCAAGAGGAGAGAGGAGGAAAAAGUGUCAGGCGUUGACCCCCAGAUGCUUGGUGGGGGUCACCCUGGUCUUGGAGGAGAUGGACAUAUGUGAUUCUCAGUUCCUGUUGAUUGUACAGCCCUUAGAACACGUGGCCUUAAUCUAUCAUUGUCAUGCAUCUCAGUGUGUGUUAAUCAACUUUUGGAAAGCACACACGCACACACCUCAUUACUGACAAAGCAGGUGGCCACAUUCCUGAUAUGAAUACAAAAGUAACAAGCACACUCUUACAGGAAGAGGGGAAAUGUAUUAAUCUUAACAAGACAACACUUUGAACCGAGGACACCGGUUUGGAGACAGUGGAAAUUGGACAUAAGGACAUUCUUAUGAUCAUGUUUUUGUAAGACAUUUUGAAAAAUUGCUUCACAUGUUGGGAGCAAAACUUGUUUGGAUCAAAUGAAACCUUUUGGAUCAACUGCUUGUGUAAGCAGAGUUAGGAUUUGUAUUGUUGGAUGAUUAUUGGCAUUCCCAUCUGAAAAGCAGGUCUUACAUUCUUCACAGGCAAAGAGGGACACCCGGGUUCAUAUCAUACGAUUGAACAGAACCUGUUUAAACAUGUGCCCAAAUGAGGCCGAAUGCAUAGUGUUUCAUUCAGAUAAAAUAGCCAUCAUUAUUAUCUUCUUUCGUAAUGACUGAAUUACAGAGGUAGGCUUGGUGACAUCAGAGAGCUGACUCCUUUCUUUGUGGUAUGCUGGAGUUUCUGGAUGUGUUUUUUUUUAAUUUUUAUUUCUUGCUUUGGCUGAAAAGGAGCCACAGUCACUGUGUUAUACAUGUGGUAGGUUAUUUUUUGUUGAUUUGUAUUUGUACUGGAGACUGCUGGGAGAGACCCUCCACUGACAAACACAAGCAAAGACUCAAUCCAAAUCCAGGAACCGCAGUGAUGUUGAAACUAAUGUGCAGAUGCACGUCCCAACAGGUGGGACUGGAGCAUUCAGACGCCAUUCUCACUGCCCAGCAUCAGUCGCUCUCAGCCUCGUGGUCAGCCAGUGUCACAUCCGCCUGCCCCGGUCCAAUCAUACCUGAAGACUCUGUUCCAGCAUGGUGAACUUACUAAACUGAAGUCUCCGAGCAAUUUGUAUUAUGGUAAAUCGCAUUUUGCUAGAAGACAGAAAUAAUUGAGUAUUGAAAGGGAUCAUGAGUGUUCCUGCUACCCUGUAGAGAAUUCACUCGCCAUUGACAGACUUGUUUUGGUUGUUGCUGUGUGUUGAGCAUUUGGUGUUUUGUUUUUUUCCCCCUUUUGAACAAUUGCAAAGCCUGUUGUAAGGAUCUUCCUUUUGUAGAAUUGAUUUAUCAUCGUUUUUUAUUGUUUCUUUUUUUUUUACUUUGUAAGAUAGUUGUAUGAGUUUUGUUUUUAUCAUUUGGAAUGCUCUUUCUUUUUUUGUUUACGUUGUUUAAAUGUAAGACGACUCUCAAUUUAGAUUCCAGGAACAAAGUGAGGUGUUUUCUUUUGUGCCAGGUGCUUAGAAAUGUUAGAAAUGACAAACUUAUCUGGCUGUAACAUCACAUGUUGUGAUAUUGCUCUUUUCUUUUUUUUAAUGCAUGUUUGAAAACAAAUCUGUCAUGCCAGUUGUAAUUGGAUUGUUCUGGUGUUUGCGACAGUUUUUCUUAAAUGAAACACAAUAUUUUUCUUCGGCACACCCCCCUCUGCUCUCCUUGGAUGUCCAGUUCUCUGACGAGCUUGUUGAUUCGUUUGAGGAAGGGGCAGAAGGGGCGGUCUGCACAAUCUGCAACACAAUUCACUGUUUCAUUAUGAUAUGAAGCAUAAAACGAAUCAAAAAGGGUGGCCUUAGUCAUUUUCCUGACUUUGGGAGUUUUGAUAAUGGUUACUCACCAGUGCCUGAAUACUUCUCUGCUACAUGGUGGAUGAUGUUGCAUUUGAUGAUUUAUAGGUUGUACCUUUUUAUAAUACAGAUGUAUAAAAACAUAUAUACUUCAGUAACAUCUGACAGUGUCUCAGAACAUCUAAAUGAAGAAUCACACCCACUGACGCUGACUGCUUCAGUGUCUGUGUCAUUAAAUGUAAGAUGACUAAUAACCCGGUCUUCAACUUUGACGCUGAAAACUACUUAAUAUGUUUCAUCUUUUAUGUACUGAUUUUGUUAAGUAUAAUUUUGUCCUUGACUGGCAUGUGCAUUGAUAUGUAUGUACAGCUGUGAUAUAUCAGCUUUAUCAUUAUAAGCUGAUACUGAUAUGUAACAGUAUUUGGUUUUCUACCUGUCAUUUAUCCCAAAUCUUGCCCCAAACAUUAUUUUCUUUGUCAAGUCACUCUAACCUUUCUGCAGAAAAAACGUGGUGUUGUUGUGAUAUGAAAUCUCUACUAAAGACUUGUACUUUUAUUUCUUUACAUGAAAGAUAUGUCUGCAGUAUCCAAGGAUCAAAAAUGCACCGGAUAUUCUUUGUUAACAGACCCUUUUUGUCCUCUACAACAGAUGACCUGCUACAAAUCUCUCUGUCUUCACUCAUGUUUGGGGACAACAUCUAUGUAGGCUAUGUCCUCAAAGUGCCUCCAGUUUCCUAUUUUUUAUAUAUAAAGUAGAUAUAGAGAACUGUUGUGUAUAUAACAGUAAUGUAGCAAUAAAUGUGCCAUUUUUAAUAACAAACA